Paramuricea clavata is the source of this 102-nucleotide non-coding RNA. The record is from the annotation of a GenBank genome assembly. NCBI's taxonomy places the organism in Eukaryota, Metazoa, Cnidaria, Anthozoa, Malacalcyonacea, Plexauridae.
AUAGGAAAAAUUCCUAUAGGAAAAAUUCCUAUAGGAAAAAUUCCUAUAGGAAAAAUUCCUAUAAGAAUUUGGGACAAUUUUUCCUAUAGGAAUUUUUCCUAU